GAGACUUUACCUGGUCUGGGCUGGUCUGGGCUGGGCUGGGCUGGGCUGGGCUGGUCUUCCCUGAAGGCUGAGACAUGGCUGUCCUUCAUCAAUCUUGACUAGACAGCCCUAUUCAUAAGGUUUCUGCAGGACCCUAGCCAGGCACCCAUUUGGAUCCUGGGAGGUUGGAGAGACUUGGCUUCAGUGUCAGGCUGACAUUUCUGAGAAAGCAGUGCAGAUCUCUCUUCUUACAGAAGGUGGUGAAGCCUGAGGACCGAUGGCCAGGCUGGGUUGCAAGGGGUGGAUGGCUGGAAUGCAGUCUGCAGCCUCUGUGGGAGUCCAGGCCGUUCCCUCAAGACGUACACAUCUACCAGAGCAUGCAAGGCCACUUCCAGAAAUCGCAGGCGAUUGGCUGUUUCUGUUAACUAAGUUUGCUCGAAGAGCUCCUUUUUCCUUGGGAGGCGGCAGGACUACAGGGCAGUUGCAAAUUGAUCCCCAGAGAGGGUUCUGUCCAAUCAGCCACCCCUCCAGCUUCCACCACAGGAGCCCAGGAACAAGCCGCCACUUCAGCAAUCCAAUCUCCAUAUAUUUCAUUUUUAAAAUAUUUCAUUUCUGGCCAGCGGUUCUUAGAUCGCCAAUUUGAUUUGGUUUCUAUAAAUGGAUUUUUUUUUGUAGUGUAGGUGGAAAAUAUAUUUAAUUUCAAAUAUCUGCAAACUAAAAUAUCUAAUGUAAACAUCGAGGUAUUCGUGAGCUGGGCAUGCACCCCACAAAGCAGAGAGGCCAGCUUUGAGACAGCCUUGGGACAGGAUUCUCUGUUUCCAUUUCUGAGGAGGACUCUGGAGAGCCAGCGUCUGAUCUUCAGGGGUUCUCCCUGCUUCCAGACUUGGCUAGAAAGAAGGCCACUCACUAGAACUCCAACUAAGAAACCAGCUUUGUGGAAUAACCAGCGAUCUCCAAAGGGCAGCCCCAACCGUGCAAUGGAGCCGCACUGACUGCGUUGGACCCUCAGACACCCCUCUACAGCCAAGUUCUUGGACCCUUUUCCUCAGCCAGAAGAAGAUAUGAGGGGACAAAGUCCAGCGCUCGGCCUCCUGAGCUCCAGGAGCUGAUGUAACCCCGGCUGGCAUCACUCCAGUUGGAGCUCAUUCAUCACCAGGAACUAACUUGGGCCUGGAAGAACGGCUAACUCUUUGCUGGAGGUCACAUAGCAUGAAGUGUUGAGGCUGCGCUCCCUCUGCGGGCCCCACAGGAGGAUCCUUCCUGCAACCAGCUCCCAGGCUGCCCCCACCCCCCAGAAUCCCUCCGUUCUCUCUGUUCACAUGUCCUUUCUCAGUCUAGAUCCGAUGUUUUGUUUUCUCAGGACACGCCCAGUAUGGUGUCAUUUUGACUUAAGAGUUGACUUCUAAACAGAUCCCAUUCUGAGACCCCAGGGAGAUGUGGUUCAAUCCAGUAUACCCCGAUGUGGGAAGGCUCGGAGAUAAGGAACAGACAGCUUGCUCACGGAUAAGGAAUCUGGGCCCUGCCUCUUGCUAUCUUGUCUUACCCAGGCUAGCCCUUUACUGGCUACCUGAACCUCUCGGUCUCUCCAAUCCUCUGGGACAGGGCCUCUAAUCCAGCCCUCUACCCCCACCCUUCAUUCUCACCCCUCAGUGUACUGGUUACUUGCAGAUACCCCCAAGGCACAGAGAUGUCCCCUCAGGCGCUUCAUGUCUGCCCCGACAUAGUGAACAACAACCAAUUUGAGUCCUAAAGCAAAUUAACAAUGGCCACAGUUACUGAAUCCCAUCAGAAGCGUGGGCUAGGGUGUGGGGCGAACCAGACAACCAGGCAACCCUCUCUCCCACUGUUCACUCGAUACUCGAUGCUACUUCAGUCAGGAAAGUCCUUUGCUACAAUGCUCCACCUCUACCCUGAAUGCCAUCUCUCUUCCACGGGCGUCCUGAAGAGAUAACUUAGCUUACCCUUCCCUGGAGGUCACAGCUUCUCUAGGGAUCUAAGCAGGUCUUCUUAGCUGGCAGAACAAAACCCACAGCAGUCGUCACAGCCUUUGAGAUAGGGCCUCGUGUAACCCAGGCUGGCCUCUAUGUAGCCAGCCAUGAUCUUGAACUUCUAAUCCUCCUCCUUCUGCCUUCCAAGGGUCCUUUUUUAAUAUAUGGUCAGUCUACCAGUUCUGUCCCCCCAGGGAGCCCCGACUAUACACACAGGACGCAGCAGGUGGCGAGAAUGACAGGCUUGCUCUGUGGCCAGUGCCGUUGUAGCAUGGUACCCAUCUUAACACUGGAUUUUCUCCCCAGCACCCCCACUAUACAGAUACCAGGAAGCAGAUGACGGUAACAGCGGAGUGUACGGAGAGCACGUCUCUACCCAAGCUGGUCUGAGGGCACCUUAUCCACAUCUCAUGGAAGACAGGAACAGCACGGUAAGGGUGGUGGGUGGAGCUGCAGAGAACCGUGAGCCUGCAGGUCACUGAUUGGAUAGUUCAGAGCAGCCCCUGUGUUGAAGGCCAGACAGUUGAAUGGUGCAGAACCCCACGGGAACAGGGGUAUGGUAUGGAUGCUGGCUUCCACUUGGUUUCUUUUCUGCCUCCCGUGUUCUCUAUAACCACACACGGAUGAAUAUUUGUUAUUGUCUUGACUGGUUCCUUGUGUGAUACUCAGAUCAUCAACUCCACUGCAAGAUGUUGCGGGAACUCAGUUAUCCGUUGUCCUGAUCACUACCUGUCACCCAUCCUUCCUGGCUUAAGGCAACAAACUCAAGUCCCCCUGUCCCCGGGUUAUCUAAAGGCUGGUGACUAUGUUCACCCUCUCCUCAGGCUGCUUGCUUCUUAAGGAGGGUGGGCCAGCCUAGCUUUCCUACCCAAAAGAUCUGCUCCACAGGGCCUCCAGUGAGACUACAGCUCCAGGGUGGUGAGAGAGGUCACUGGGAAACAGAUUUCUGGGUCAAAGAAAGCAUCCAAAGGGGUUUUAAUGGGAGUGAGAUAGGCUAUUAUCAGAUGCCCCAAGCUAGCCCGUGGAGGGAAGGAACAAGUCCUCCUGAGCUAGGAAUUGGCAGCCACCUCAGAGCUCAUCCGGACGGCGCUCUUCCUUAUCUGUGGCAGCCAUCGGCAAGGUGACAGAUAAAAGAACAAGAAGGAUGUUCUAUGGAUGGAGAAGAAGGCUGGAGCCAGGGACAGAACAGGCAGAAUAUGCAGGAGACUCAUCUCAGCUGCCAGGGACCCAAACCAUUCUGAGCUAGGAGGUGCCAAACUUGCAGGACCCGAGGAGAGGCACACUGGGACAGAUUCUAUGCUCAAGGGCUUUAUCUCCAUCAGUAAACAAGAGAGUCCAUGGGAAAUGAACCCUUAAAGUUCUGCUGUAAUGGUGACUCGAUCAUAUCCCUCAAUUGUGCAGAGACGGGCUGGGGUGCAGAGCCCUGGGCAUUGCUGCACCCCUAAAGUCUCCACAGAGCCACUGCGCUUGCCUCAUCUCCAGAUAACUCAGAGCCCUGUGCCCAAGAAGCACAGGGGUUAGAGCUGGCCAGACUGAGGGUUCAUUCUUACCCAAUCCACAAAGAAUCCACGAAUCAUGCAUAAGCAUGCAUGUACACACACAUACACACACUCACACACACACACACACACACACACACACACACACACACACACACACCACUUUUCUCCUCCCAUAAACAUCAUCCACCAAAACCCCAAACCAAACACGGGUUUAGAAGACAUCGCCAUGGUAAUUUAAAAGCCACUUUACUACCUUGUGCGACUCAAGCUGGUAAAUUGAGUGGACGGUGAUAUGAAAAUAUUUCAUUAGAUUUUUUUAUGCCGAAUUAGGCUGGUGCAAUUAUGUUGGCACUCAGAAUCUGCAUUAGUCUGAAACUAUUUUUAACACUUUUUCUAAUUUAGUAUGAUUAAUUCUUUCACGUAAGGACACACUUACUCUGGUGUUCUGAUUGUUUCACUGUCUUGACUUCUCUCUGCUUAGGUACCGAACUCAUAAAGGAUUCUUGUUCCAGGGGCUGGGAUCCAAUUUCUCAGGACAUUUACUUACCUAAGAAGAUGAUCGUGCUCUUGCUUUUGCAACAAUUAUUUUCUCCACGGGGCAGACCAAGCCAUUGACAUUAACUGUAACGCACCUCAACUUAUUAAAUAGGGGCUGGAAACCCCAGAGCCCAGAAGGCUGUUUGAAAAAGAGAUUUCUCGAAUUGGUUUGCAAGAUGCAUAUUCUGCCCAGCUUUAACUAAAUAAAAAAUGACCACUCUGUGUUUUUAAAACUGGACAGAAGUUAAUAUACCAAUGUGUGUGUGUGUGUGUGUGUGUGAGAGAGAGAGAGAGAGAGAGAGAGAGAGAGAGAGAGAGAGAGAGAGAGAAAAUAUAAAUGUUUUCUCCAGGGAGGUUAUACAAUCUCAAUGUGUGUGUGUGUGUGUGUGUAUGUGUGUGUGUGUAUGUGUGUGUGUGUAUGUGUGUGUGUGUGUGUGUAUAAAACAAUAAUAAUAAGAGGUCAUGAAUUAAAGAUGGGAGACACGGGGUUGGGGAUUUAGCUCAGUGGUAGAGCGCUUGCCUAGGAAGCGCAAGGCCCUGGGUUCGGUCCCCAGCUCCGAAAAAAAAAAAGAAAAAAAAAAGAAAAAAAAAAGAUGGGAGACACAAGGGACGGUCAGAGGGUGAGAGUGAGGGGUAGAAAUGAUUUAAACAUAAUACUACUCAUACUGAAAUUCUCAAACAAGCAAUCAAACAAUAAUACAUACCCUGGAAUGCACAACAGACCCUUUGGGGACAACACCAGAGGGACCCCGUGUCCCAGCGAAGAGUGGCAUCUGAGAAGACAGACUGUCACCAUGUUGCCUGCUCUAAGUUUCCUCCUCCUGAAAGCUUAUCAGUGGAAACACUCGGUCUGUGUUUGUAAAGCAUCUGGCUCUUUAAGUCAAAACAAAUGUGUGCUGUCACAUUUUGGAUUCUUGUUAAGAAAAUAUUUGGGGGUUUUUGUUUGUUUGUCUUUUUUUUUUUUUUUUUUUUUUUUUUUGCUUUUCAGCAAUUCUCUUCUAAUCUGGUUCUAAUAAUAAUAACUUUAAAAGCACACAGAUUCCAGCGCCGAUGUCUCUCUCCGAGAUGCACCCUGUUGCCGGUGUGCCAAUUAUGAAGACGAUUUCCAUCCAUCCAGACACUAAUGUCAUUAGUCCACCAAGAUCCUUCGGAGAUCAUUUACAUAGAGACUGCUUUCACACGCUAGAUGUAAAAUGCAAAGUGCGGAGCUCUCCUGGACGGGAUGCAAUGUGAAUCACAAGCCUCCUACAGAAGGGUCCUAUUACCUGUGCUGCUGCUUACUGAACAGGGAGGUGACGCAGUCAACUAGGAAGCUAUUACCCGAGCAGCCACUGAGAAGCCAUGUCAGACGGCACUUCUCCCUCAGCCUCCCCAGGAAAGCUGGUUCUUACUGACUUCCAUGACACCCACAUGGGCACCGUGGCCACCAUAGCAUCCUGCCGCCCCUGCAUUUAUGGCAUCCUGUUUCUGUCAAAACUCAGAGACAGUUGCCUGACCCAGGGUCUCCCGUUUAGGGCAAGAAGGGCCUAGUGUACACGCAGGGAUCCUGGAAAGUGUCAUAGUGUCACUCAAAGAGGGCCAAGAGGGAGAUGAGGAGAUGGGCCGAUCUAGGUUCCUUCCCUAGGGGUGUACUGUUGAAAUGUGGGGUUGGGGACUUUUGACUGACUGGGAAGCCCAGAAAGGCAGAGGAAAUUGGUGUGAGGGCAGGCACCCAGUGUAGUCUGGCUACACAUGAGCUAGCUAGACCCAGAGACUGGGUACUGGCCACUUAGUAGUAUUCAUAUUAAUAUUACUAAUAUGAUUGUUACUGGAAUGGUUAUAACCACAGCCCGGCACUUGGUAGCCAUAGCAACCUAGAUUCAGCCACCUGUCAUUUUAUGAUUAUUGUUUCAUAAGAUUUAUGUUUUAAGUGUGUGUGCGCGUGAGUGCAGGUGUCUCUAUAGGUCAGAAGAGGAUGCCAGUCCCCUGGUGUCGUAGUUACAGGAGGCCGCUUUUAUCACAACAGUUAAAGGGUCAGAGCCUGGGUCCUGGCAGACAUAACAAUCUAGGCUUUAGCUGCCCAUUGUCUGUUGGUCUCUUAGUAAAAUAACCAUGAAAGGUGGAGGAAGAACACAGCCAAAUUGGGAAAAGAAACAGAGGGGCCGGGAACCCCCAUCUCUAUUUUUGGGCCUCUUGACAUGGAGUUUAACGUAGGUUUAAACAGAAGGCAAGAGGUGUCUAUAGCUAUGGACCCAGCCAUCAUUGUCUCUGUGCAGCUAAGUGGUCCAGGCGUGGUCCCACCACAUCAUAGUCUCAGCUCCAGUCUCUCCUGCAAGGUGGUCUGACGGGUUGUCAGAACUGUGUGGAACCUCUUUCUAGAAUUCCAGUUCCCUUCUGGCUGCCAUCUGGUUUCAGCCUCUUCCUUUCUCCCAUCGAGGCACACCUGGGGGAAAUUCCAACCUUUGGGUUCAUUCGUUUUAGUUGUCUGACAGCCAGAGGGAGGGGUACGAGCACAUGUGUCUCCUUAUUGUCACUUCUGCAGGGUUUUCAUUGUCUUAUCGUUACCAUGCUGUGGACGGACAGAACACGGGGCCUUGCACACAUCAGUCCAGCACUGCAACACUGGGCAAAUUCCCAAGGCUGGAUAUAUAGGACUGUUCUCUUUUUUCCCUUAAAGCCAAACAUCUCUGAAAUUCAUGGGAAUAAAAUUGUCCAGUGGAGGAGUAGCCUGUGAGGGUAGUGCUCUGAGCUUCCUGUAACCACCCCAGGCCCUUCCUGAGGCAGCUCCCUUCCUCCCCUCUAGUCCUGCCUAGCCAGAGUCCAUUCCCUGACCUCCCUUCCAGGACAGGAAGGGCUGGUCUUCUCCUGCCUGGGGACUUCCAUCAGUGCAGAGGCUCUGGCUAUGGGGGCAGGCGUGGGAAGAUGGGCUCUCAGGACACAGCCCUGUUUUGAUGGAGGCUUUUAGCAUUCAGGUCCAUGAUGUCCCCCAGCCUUGCUUGGUGGGUUCCUGAAGUAGCAAAAACAGAUGCUAGUGGAGAGAGCUGGGCCGCAGGCACUGUGGAGAGCGUCGGGCAGGAGGCCAGCAGGUUACCUCUGUGGAAACCUAGCCAUUUUGUUGACGGUGUUCUGACAAUGCUCAGGGCUGCUCAGAGCAGCUUUGCCUCGCGCCAAGCUGCUUGACAUUCUGAGGAGGCAUCCGCCGCUCUAGAGGAUGACUCCUGUGACUUUGACAGCUUUUGGGGCUGUGGUUCCUCUGGCUUUGCUGCUCCAAGGCUUAAGCCAUCUCUAACUUCUUACUUCUCACGCCUGAGGCCCGGAAGGUCCAAACUGAUCAGGGAAAGGAAACUGACUAAAAGCUAUACAAGAGGAGCGGGAGGGAGAGAGGGUGUGUGGGGUGCGUGGAGGGGAGACAGGGUCCCUCUGCCUUAACCGAUAAAAAGUGAGGCCCUCAGAUAGAAGUCUGCACCUGGCACUUGCCCAUCUUCCAUGCCAUUCGUGUUUAAACCAGUAACUAGGUAGGAGCACUCCCACACUUACCAUCUCCCUGCGACUCUUGCUGUUCUUAGCUCAAGUUCUAAAACCUCCUCUGAGGUUCAUGGGCCCUGCAAAGUUCAGUUCCAACCCUUCUCUCAUCACCGCCCCCUUCAGGCUCUGCACUGCAAGUACACCAACUGGCAUUCAUGCCUCUCCUCUAACACACGUGCCCCAGGGCCUUUGCAUAUGCUGCCCCUUCGUCCUCUACUGCCCCCCUCUCCCUGCUGACAGUGUCAACGAAACACCACAUCUUCCAUGCUUCCUUUGUAGGUCUCCAGACAAGCUGAUCAUCUGCUGAAAUAUCUCACCUCUCUGGUACUUUUCCUCAGCAGUAGCUGACACAGUUGUCUCGAUCAAUUAGGGAGUCUAAAGUUGAAAACCCACGACAUGCCGGAGGAGACUGAGCUUGAGAAUUAGGGAGUCUCGUCUUUGAGCAGGGAUCUCUGAUGAGCUAAGUGACCUGAAUUACAUAAAAACCUGUCUGAACCUGUCUGUCAUGGGUGGGACAAUGAACAAUUAUUGAAAAGUUAUCAUCUGAAAACGGCUUGCUGGCACGGCAAGGCGCACCCUCUGUUGCAUUUUUCUCAUAAUUGGUUUUCCUGUCAUUGGCGUGGUUAUUAAAGGGCUAGGUUGCAGGCUGGGGAUCUUCCUACUACAGUAUUUGCAAGCUCAGGCUGAAGAUGCCCACCCUGUGUAGUUCUUCUCCUUGGGCUGGGUGGCAGAGCCACAUGUUUCAGGUGGUUGCUGGGAACUGAAUUUGGGUUCUCCGCAAGAGCAGCAACUGCUCUGAACUGCUGAGCCAUCUCUCCAGCCCAGGCACAAAUGAUUUUUUGCUGAGUAAACUUCUCUCCCAUUCCCAGUGCUCCGUCCUGCACUAAGUCACCUGUGGCAGCCAUGCUGGCAAAGCAUUGGCUCCUAAUGUUGUCUGGUGCCAUCAGACAACACACUCUUGGAGGGAUGAGCUCAACACACACCCAGCGUCACCAGGAUGUGCCCAGGAGUUUACCCAAGAAAGCAAUUAGGUAAGGAGGGAAGGCUUGCACUCAGGGAGUUUUCAGGACACACCGGAAGGAUUCCUGGCUGGGUGUAAAGGUAUCAUUCGCAGGAUGAAUGUCACAUCCUCAAAGGCAGCAAUUAGGUCAAGUGCUCAGCAGCACAGAGUCAUCUACAAAGAAGCUCCUCGCUUGAAAUAGAGCCCAGUGACAAUGUAUGUGAAUGCCAAUGAAAUUACCCAUACAAUACAGUGUGUGUGUGUGUGUGUGUGUGUGUGUGUGUGUGUGUGUGUGUGUGUGUGUGUAAGAAAUGUUCUGGGGUCUGUGAAAUGACUCAGUCGGGGGGGGAGAGAGAGACAGAUAGAAAGACAGAGAGAGAGAGAGAGAGAGAGACAGACAGACAGACAGACAGACAGAGAGAGACAGAGAGAGAGAGAGAGAGAGAGAGAGAGAGAGAGAGAGAACUUAUUGCCAACCCUGACUACAUGAACUGAUAUCCAGGACCCCAUGAUAAAGCCAACUCCCAUAAGUUGUCCUUUGAUCUCCACAGUCACGAAGUGGCAUGUGGUAUGUGGAAUGUGUAACCUUCCUCAUGUAAAUGUAGUUACCUUUUUAAAAUGUGUCCUUUUGGAAGGUUCCCCCCAGGGACUUUCCUCACCCUGUCCCGAUUCCCCUGCCUUUAGUUGAAGUAUUAAAAUCAGAAUGUAACUCUUACACAUUUAUUUUGUCUUUAUAAAUCCAUUUAGCUAUUCAAAACAUGUUUUAUAUAAAGUUUACAGUCAGCAUGCUGACAACCAUAGGACAAGUAAGUAGAGAUUCUGUGCUGCAAAUACAGAUCAACUUGGGGGAAACUGCUACCUGGAUGAUACCAAGCCUUUAAAUCCAUGAACAUGGUAUGUCUACUCCAUGAACAUGGUAUGUCUACCCCAUGAAAAUACUGUGUCCAGCUCAUGAACAUGGUGUAUCUAGUCAAUGAACAUGUAUACCUCUCCAUUGAAAGGUCUGUCCCUCAACAGUAUUUAUAGCUUCAAAUGCCAAGUAUUUAUUUACGUAGCCUUCUAGGCUAUUUCAAUGUGUUACACUGUCACUAAGUGUAUUUUACUUGACCUCUGUUUUCUAGAAGAUCCUUGCCACUCUUUGGAAACAUAGUUGCUUAUUAUCAAUUCACCUGGUUUUCAGGGUUCUUUCUGAAUUCACCUACCAGUUCAAACGAAUUUUUCAUAGAGUUUAUUACUGUUUUCAACAAACAGCACUCAUUCUUUCCCACCCAUAAUGGCUUUCAGCACUCCUUGUAUGUUGAGCUUCUUUCUUGUAUGUUCAAGCCCUCCAUCCCAGCCAGCACUGGGGUUAAGUGAGAGAAGGCCAUUCCUAACAUUAGGGAGAAGUACAACAGAAUACUAGUUACAUCACAGCAGACUUUUUAAAAUGAUUUUUUAAGUACAUAUGUGUACAUGUAUGGACACACAGACACACACAGACAUACACAUACACAUGCACAUAAAUGUGCAUACAUAUAUGUAUGCACACUCCACAACAUGUACAUACAUAUGUGCACACAGAGACACACAUGCACAUACACAGACCUCACAGACACACACCCCAGAGUCCAGGUGUGAAGAUCAGAGGACAGCCACAGAUAACUGUCUUCACUUUCCCCCUUGUUCAAGACGAGGUCUCUUGUUGUUUACUACUAUGCUCUCCCAUGAGCUCCCAAGAAUUCUCUGUCUCUACCUUGUGUAUUAGUCAUGUUCAUGCUGCUGCGAGAAAAUUCCACAAUGGAAAGUGUCAAGUGGAAGAGUUUAUUUUGGUCUGUGGUUCCAGAGGGAUAAGGGUCCAUCCUGUCUAGGAGGCAUGAGAGCAAAUAGUAAGACACUUAAGCAGCAGCAUGAGGCUUAGAGCUUACAUCCCCAGUGGCAAUCAAAGCAGAGAGAGCAAACCGGAAGUGGGUCAGGCUACGCACUCUCAAACCCCGCCUACCCCUUGAUUCACUUCCUCCCAGAAAGCUGCUUCUCUUCCCUGGACACCCAUAGGUAAGCCAAGCCCUGGCUACUGAUCGGAACUUCAUGUGGGUUCUGGAGGUCCAAACUCAGGUCCUCAAGCUUGCGUAGCAAGAACGCCCUGGGCUCUUCUCCAGCCCGAGAUGUCCUUUGUCAGAUGGUAGGAAACCCCUCUAUGCCUACUUUGCCGAGAGUUUUUAAAACUCAUGAAUGAAUACACAAUUAUGCCAUUUUCUGUAGCUGUUGAUAAGAUUAUAUGGUCGAUAUCCUUUGUUCUCUGAACACAGGCAAUUACAUCGAUUUUUUCAAAUGUUAAAUCAAUCUUGCACAUCCCCAGUUAACCCUAUUAAUCACGGUGAAUUAUUCUUUUCACACGGAGCUGCAUCCCCUUUGCUAAUACACUAUUAAGGAUUUUUCCAAUUACGUCCCUGCCGGUUAUUGGUUUGUAGUUUCCUGGUAACGCCUCCAUCUUGACUUAUGAUCAAACACACCACCCUUGUGAAGUGAACUCCCUGACUGGCGUGCUCCAUCUUCCUGUUUUCUGAACAGCGUUCGGUAAGGUGAGCGCGAGCCUCUCCCUAAACGGCUGACAGAACUCGGCAUGGGAGAGUCUUCUUCGUAGGAACAUUUAUAAUUAUAAAAUCAAUUCCUUUAAUAAACACGGAAUGAUUUAGAUUUUCUGUCUCUUCUUGUGCAGACCUUAGGGGGGGUUUUUUUUUUUUUUUGCUCUUUGAGAUAUUUCCCCAUUCCCUGCUACCUGAUUAAUCACCCUAAGGUCUCCUGCUACUCUCUUACUUUUACUAACCCUGGAUACAGUUUCCCCACUGGAGUCACUUUUUAUUCGUGAUGCUAAUCAUUUGCUUUUUUUUUUCUUCUUUGUUUCUUGAUCACAUUAGCUCUACAGUCAUCCAUCUAUUGAUCUUUGAAGAGCUUUUCUUCUGGUUUUGAGAAUUCCGUCCACGUAUACAUUGAAAUACGAUCACACCCAGUUCCCGUUUCCCUCUCCCGCUCCUCCGGUUGCCCACAACACAUUCUCCUUCCGGAUCUUUUGUCUUCAUCGCUUGUCUGGUUGAUAAGCCCGUCCGUUGCUUCACUCACCGCUUCAUUGAUGUGCUGGUUGGGAUUUUGUUGAUGUGAUAGAACCCAGGAUCAUUGAGAGAAGGAACGUCAACAGAGAAGAUGUCUCUGUCGCACUGGCCAGUAGGCGAGUCUGUGGGCUCCUAACGAUUGUUACGGGAGGGCCCAUCCCUCAGUGGGUGACCACUGCUGGGCUGAUGGUCCUGGGUGCUACGAGAAAGCAGGCAGAACAAGCCGUUGGGGAGAUGACUUUAACCACCACUCUUCUGUGGUCUCCAUACCAGCUCCUACCUCCAGGUUCCCAACCUGCUUGAGUUUCUGCCCUGACCUCCCUCUGGAAUGGGCUGUAAUUGACAGGUGUAUGUCACAGAAACCUUUCCUGCUCUGGUUGUUCUUGGUCAUUGAUUGCUCUUUACCUUGUUCCUCUACUUUGAUCCCAAUCAGCUCUUCUUUUCCUACCCGCUAAACAGAAGAGCGCACUUAAGCUUUUAAACACUUGCUAGUGCAAAUGACACGGAUUGAUUUUUAUGCGCACACAGUAGAAGCGCUGAGAACAGGAGCCUCCCUCUAAGACCCGCUUUCCUUACAGCAGAGGGCUCUACCCACAGCCACGGUUUUUCUAUAUCUGCUCUGAGUUUCCAUUCAUUAAAAACAAAAAGGUUAUCUAGAACCUGGGAAUGUCUCAGAUACCUGUUCUGCUACUGAUUAAUUCUGUUAUCAUCAAUGUCCUGAGCCACCUAUGCUCGGGGAUCACAGCAGUGAACUGCCAAUGUACAGUUGGAUGGUCCCCUCGGUCCCCUCAAUUCUUGGCACAAAGCUGCUCAGAGCAGUUCUUUUAUAAUCCCACUGUCCCUAAGAGUUCACAGGGAUGUCCUCUCUUUCCUUCCUGAUUUCAGUCCUUUGGGUCAUCUCAUGUAUAGGUCAUGGGACAGCCGUAGCUCUAAUAUUUUGGGAAACUGUCUCCCUCUCCUCCACAGCAGAACCACUAUUUUAUAUGAUCUGUAUUAUCAUCUUCUCUGGGGAGAAGAUCUCAGUUGGAACCUCAGUCUGUCAGCUUCCUUGGUCCAUCCAUGUGUCUCACCUUGAGACAGGGUCUCACUAUGUAGACCUGGCUAACCUGGAACUCACCGUGUAUGUAGAUCAGGUUAUCUUCCAACUCACAGAGGUCUACCUGCCUCUGCCUCUCUGCCUCUCUGCCUCUCUCUGCCUCUCUGCCUCUGCCUCAUCAAAGGUGUGCACCACCACACCCAGCCUUAGCUGGAUAUUCAAAGAAUUAAUUUCCGCUGCCAUGGGCUUUCUCCGUUGCUGUCUUGAGUCUCCAUUUUGUUCCACCCUUUCUGUAUGCUGCUCUAACAUGAAGCCACAGGACUGUGUGCGUAGAGGCCAAAAAGUACUUCUCUCACGGUUCUGUGAUCAUUAGUGCCAGCAAAUCUGAUCUCUGAUGUGGAUUCUCUUCCUGGCCAGUUAAGGACCAACUUCUUAUCAUGUCUUCCUCUGGCCUUUCCUCGUAGAGAAAGAAAGAGCUAAAGGGAUGUGUUCCCCACUUUAAAAAAGAGAUUUCAGUUAAAAAAUUAAUUGUAUGAGUAUGUGCAUGUGCACAUGUAUGUGGAUGCCCACAGAGGCCAGCGCCAGCAGAUUCCCCGAGAGUUGGAGUUACAGGUGACUGUGAGCUCCUGACUCAGGCACUGAGAAGCAAACUUGGAUCCUCUGGAAAACAAUCCACCCACUCUUAGCCUCCUCUUCAGCCACUAGGAUGGGUAUUACUAAAUACACCAAUCCUUUUGGACCAAAGCUCUGCCUAUCCAUCCUUAAUGAUGUCCGGGAGAGACUCCUCCCACCUUGUAGGCCAGCAGAUCUAGCACAGCAUCCUGGGGGUGGGGGGCAGAGGAAGAGGAGCGCCCAUCUGCCAGGCCCUCCUUUGCUUCUUUUGAGUCUCACUUGAUUUUAAUUUAUUUUUCUAACUUCCGUGGAGGGGGUUUGGGCAGCUGUUUGAGAUCAGUUCCUGCUUUUCUCUUUUGAUGACGUGGUCAUGAGAAGUGGUAACUUUCUCGUGAUUUUGGUCAAUUAUGUUCUUAAGAAUUAAACACUGAGAAGGAAGAGUAUCCCAUCCGCCCACGUAUCUACUGUUUCCGAUGUUCCUCUGUGCAAACAGGAACUUUCAUUUAGUAACGAUUUCUUUCAACUCGAGAAGUUCCUUUUGAGGUCUUAAGGCCUUGCAGCUGCAGACUCCCUCCCUUCAUUUUACCAGAUUUCUGGUUUGUUUGUUUUGUGAUUGGGGGGGGGGGUGGCAUUUGUUUGUUUGGGGUUUUGUUGUUGGUUUUUGCUUGGUGUGUGUGUGUGUGUGUGUGUGUGUGUGUGUGUGUGUGUGUUUCUAAAAAUGUCUUUUAUUCUUACUCUUGAAAAACUAUGUUCACCAAGUAGAGAGUUGCAGGCUGGGGGCGGGGGGGUCUCCUCUUGGCUGCAUAGCCUUAUUUUGUGAUGUUUGGAAUAAAAAAAAAGUACUGUUUCUUGCUUUUAUAAUGUGCCUUUCCUCCCCCUAAUUGAAACCUCUUCUCUUCAUUGCUGGUGCUCAGGAAUUAAUAUUAUGGCUUGUGUUAACUUCUUUGUAUUUAUUCUAUGAUCUGGUUCAUUGAGUAUCUAGGCUCCACUUAAUUUUAUAAUUCCCAUCAAACUUGGAGGAAUCUUGACCAGUAUUUCUUCAAAAUGUUUUCGUUGUUGUUGACUGCUUUUGAGACAGGGUCUCACUAUGUAGCCCAGGUUAGACUGGAACUUACUAUCCUCAUGCCUCAGCCUCCCGAGUGUUGGGAUCCCAGGUGUCCACCACCGCACCCCACUCCUCUUCACAGUGUCCGUCCCUGUGGCCCCUCAGUGGUUCAUACGGUAGAUCAUGUGCUAUUGCUCCAAAGUUUAUGAAGAUUCUCUACUUCCCUCUGCCCGUUCUGCUCUGGGCGGUUUACACCAGUAAACUUAGUGCUUUAGGUCUGCGUUCUCUGAUCCAUUUUAUGUUCUGUCUAACCUGCUACAAGGCCUAUUGUGGCGGCCAGACUCUAGGGUGGACUCAAUAAAACCUAACUCCUGGGCCUAUCCCACUGUGUCAUCGUAACCUGUCGAUCAUGGGCAUAUGGACGACUUGCUUCUAACUGACUGAAACAGCCAAUGUAUGAUAGCAAGACCAAGAUCUAUGAUUAGGUAUAGAAACAACUUCUGUCUUAUUGGAAAACACCACUCUGUAAGAAGUCCAUAUGGUGAGGUGGGGAAGGUGAUCAUGGCCAGCUUAGAGCUGAAGCCCUUGUUCUAACAUCUGAUAAAAACCUGAAUCUUCACACAAGCACACCCUCCUCACUCAAGCCUUCAGGGAGCCCCCAGCCUUUGCUGGUACCUUGAUUUCAGCCUUGCAAGUGGCCCUGACACAGGUGACUUCUCUGAUCCCUGCCCAUUUUCUGACCCUCUGAACUAUGAGAAGGAAGGCAUGGCCAGAGACUGCUGAGUUGGGGGUAAUUCGUAGUGUGCCGGCAGAUAUCGAAUCUGGUGAGAUUUCGCUUUGAAUAUAACAUUUUCUGAUCAGUCUUGCUUCCUGUGGUCAUCUUUUCCUGUGACUAACACACACUGAGGACUGGCAUCUCCUGGUGUCGUCUCCAAGCCCGUGUCUCUGGGUUCCCCACCAAUGUCACUGAUUUCUUCCUCUCAGAUCUGGCUGUGUUUUCAUGAUUCUUUCAUUGCCUGAUAACUUUUAUUGAGUUCGGGGUAUUGUGAAUAAUGCAUUGUUGAUGGUGGAUUUCGUUAUGUGAUUUAAAAGGAUGCCGAAUUCUGCUUAGUCAGGCGUUGCGUGACUGCAUCUCUCUUGAAGUUUGCUGCUCUGCUUUUUUUUUUUUUAAAGGUGAAUCUAUUCCGAGGAGAAGUCAGCCCUGUUGUAACACGUGAUCAUUCUGGGGCCUCUAGCAGAUACCCAGAUAUUAAACCUGCUAGUCUGAGCUUGACAAGAUGCAGGACCAGGUUACAAGGCCCACCCUGUAGUGAACCACUUCCUUUAGCUACGCCUCCACCUCCUGAUGGUCCCACGGCCUCCCCAAACAGUGCCGUCAUCUAGGGGCCAGAUAUUCGAACACAUGAGCCUUUGCAGGAGAUGUUUCCACUCAAACCACCUCAGGCUUGCUUUCGCGCAACCUCGUGACAUACUGCCUCGUGCCUGUGACGGUUAGCGGUUAGCAACGGGCUCUCGGCUGCCACGAAGAUGCCUGGAUGUUUCCCUGGUUAUUUUUUUUUUCUUUCAAGAACUUUCCAGGAGUCUUCCUUAUAAGCGUCGGGAGUCUCUGCCUCCUCAUACACCAUUCUCCUCCUCAAAGCAACUUCGCCACCACCGCUCUGCUUGCCCACGCACACCCAUGCUGCGGCCUGGAAACCCCUCUGGCUAAAUCACAAAAACCCCUUCAUCUAUUCAGACCACACAGCCCUGAGCUGCUGCCUAACACCCAACACAGCUACGCAUGGACUCCAGUGGGUUUGGGCGAAAAUCAUGAGCUCAUUGUCGUUACUAUUAGGGUCUUAAAGCAUUCUGGGAGAUGGGCAAGAAAGAAUGGUCUCAGCGCUUGACUCCACCCCUUUGGACUCCGCCCCUCGGGUCUUCUAGUUCUGCGCGCUGCACGCAGCAAGUAUUUAUCAGAAAGCCCCAUAGCCCCCACCUACAACGGAUUUCUUAUCCCCUAGGUGACGGCGGGUGUCCCCUCGGUAUUUCAGCUGAGAUAUUGCUCUCAUGGUGGAUGUGGGUAUCUUCUAUUUGCUGUGGUCUCAGUAGACCCCAUGAAUCACGAGCAUCUGUCUCGCUUCCACACUGCCAGCCUCUGGCUUGAAGACCCGCUUUGUGCCCUGAGGAACAAGCCUCCAGGGAGUUCCAGGCUGGCCACUAUGCAGAAUCCCCACACCGACGCCCCAACCCCGUACAGAACGAUUCUGAAAUCUCACAGGUGCCCACGUUACACCCUGAGCAAUGGGAAGCAAACUUCUGCUCUGCAGCUCCCAUUUCCAGCAAGGAUUGCUUUAGCUUCUAUCCUCUGAAGUCAAAGAGCUCAGACGUGAACCCUGGAGAUGGUCCCACCGCUGUCCGGAACAGGGCAAGGUCUGAGCGAUUUCUGGAUUACGACACUUUUUUUUUUUUUUUGGUUCUUUUUUUUCGGAGCUGGGGGAUUACGACACUCUUAAAGACACUCUAUAAGUUCCCAUCGAGAACACCAGGAACACCUUCCUUCCCCUCCCUCAACUUUUCCACCCCGCACACGGGAAACUGACACCCAGAGGGUUUAAGUGGCUUGCCUAAUACCACUCAGCCCAGGAUGGGGUCACCCAUCGAGAAUUUUCAAAGCUGCCUCCCAGGCUCCUGCUACAACCCCGUUAGCGGUUUCUCGGGACCCUUUGAAACAGAAACCAAACUCUGAGCCACACCUGAGCUUCUGACCACUGUCCCCUGUCUCCUCCAGUCACUGUCACCUCGCUUUGAUCCAGCAGGGUACCUGAGGUGUCUCUGACCUGAGGUGACUCUGAGCAUCAGUAGCGUCCUGCCCUCUGGAAAUGAUCCACCCACCAAAGGACAAUCCUUUCUAGCCACCAGUGGGAUGGGUCUGCCUUAGGUAGGCCCACAGGAUCCCAGUAGAUCAUCAAUAGCCAGUGUUGGGAUCUGGGCAUGGGCCGUGCGUGCCAGUCCUGUCCCCAUUCCUCCCUCAUCACCGAGUCCACAAUGGAGGGUAGACAGUCUGGUAGCUGUGGACAGUGCUCCCCCAGUGCCAAGCAACGCAGUGCACACGGUGGGCCUAGGUCGUGAAUGAAUGGAUGGGCGAAUCCAAUAAUCCGUCAUCCUCUGAGUGACACACUGCUCACUUUUCAUUCUCCUAGGCUAGACCCAUGCACCCUGUGGGGUCUCACAGACAACCCUGUUAGUCCUGAGUUAUGUUGACCCAUGCUCAUGUCCACAGAACAGACAGCCCCGGCAUGGAGCCUGGUCCAGGUUUGCUCACAACUGAGAUCACCUCACUGCCUUUGUCUCCCACACACACACCGGUGCCCCACGGCAUGGCAGAGAAGGCUCUGGCGGGCCUGACUGCUCUCCAACCUACUGCAUCUGCCGUUGGUGGCUUGGAAUAUCAGAUGUGAACUCGCCGAGUGCCUUGGGAGGCCUUCCCUUUUGCACACAAAAGUGAUACGAGUCUGACCCAGGUCCUUGCACACGCCCUCUGUGGCAGAAAGAAAGCUCCGUGCAAGCGUCAUCCUGGGCGCACCCCGGUGCCAGGUGUCCAUUAUUUUCAGCAGAUGCUGGCAGGGGUUACCAGUUGAUCAGCUGCUCUGGGACAUGACUGACGCCAUUUUCCCUCCCUGAAGGCAUCCCUGUCCUACCCAAAGUUGAAUCCCCAGCCCUGACAACAGCAGCAGCUUUACCCAAAGACUCUCUCACUCCAUGCAGGAGCCAGUUCUGCCACACAGCCAAGUCUGGAGUCCCCAGGCGACUCUGCCGCUGGAACUUCGAGCAACCCUCCUCUAUGUUUAUUCUCAGUGAAGGGACUCCAUUCCCCUCUGCUCCCAGAGGAGGCAGCUGGCGCUGCUCUUGCAAAGACACCAGGCUGUGUCCCCCAGCUCGCCUGCCCCUGCCUGGCAGCAGCAACCUGCAUUCCCUCACAUCUAACAGACACUGGAAUGAGCAAGGCAGAAGAACCCCAUGCUGCAGUUCUUAAUAUCACCAUAUUAGGGGCAUUAAAAAUGCAAAGACAGAUAAUGAAGCAAAAGAAAUUAAAGAAAGGUCUGGGAAACCUCCCUCCCAGCCUUGGAAACACUUCCGUCCCCUAAAUGUGAGCCGACAUCUGGUGGCCCCUGUCACACGCCUGCUCCUCCUCGCUCAUGGGCCAAGUGUAAGAUUCUGGAAACCUGCAAAUGUGGAGAGCGGGUGCAUCACCUUGUUAACGCAGCAGAAUGCAGAGGGCGGACCUUUAUUAGAAAGCGAUGGAUCUUCGGGAGGACAGAAUCUCAUCUGGGACAGGAGGUCGGGACCUCUGCUUGUCCCGCCUCUGCCCCGGCUGGCUGCGAGGCUUCUCUCCUCGCUUCCAGGGGUGAAGAAAACUGAACAUCUCGGAUGGAAAAGCGAACGGGGAGGGGAAGGGUAAUUUACAGAAUUUAUUUCAUCCCCUCUCCCUUAAUCACAUAACGACAAAACCCCCAAACAUUCUACAUUCUGGCCUGUGUCCGACACAAUGUGCAAGCUAAUUGGGUGUAAAAACCGUCGCUCUGCGUUGUACCCAUUAAAGUGCGUGCGACAAUCGCUCUCCCUCCCACCCCCCCCUCCCCGAGAGCUCUGCUUCAUUUCUGUUUUUGUUAUAACUCAGUCCGUUCACAAUAUGUCAUCGAGGACGCUAUUUGCAAAAGAAAAGUAUAAAAACAGAUUCUUUAUUCCGAACUGCACUCGUUUUGCAUCCCCCUCUCAGCCUCUCCGCGUUUAGACCAGGCUUCCAUCCGGAAGGCUUUAAAAAAAAAAGUUAUAGACAGAAUUGCCAUACAUAACGAAGCACGCUCUCAUCUGGUAUUUAGCCUGAGAAUUUUAUUGCCAGGUGUUGCGAAAGGGGGAGAUACGCGGCCAAAAUAUACCGUGCUUCCUCUUCGUUUUCAAACACUACAUUUCGUGUCUGAAAAUAUUCAUUAAUCUGGGGAGGAGGCUUCCUCAGUACAGCCACCUAAGGGACUCCCAGGAAAAGAUAGACAUCACCAGGAAGGAAGCUGUGGUGGGCAAAGGCAGGGAUGACCGUGGACCCCCUGACUCUGCCUCUGCAUACGCGGGAACCAGAAACUCAGAGCUGCCACCCCUCCAAACCUCUGCUUAGCCACCCAGGAACCGGAAGCCCAGCUCUACCUGUUCUGCCCACCUAACACUCAACUCCCUGCAGCAAUUAAAGAGUUAAAGUCAGCAGCAGGGGCUGCUACUGACCGAGCUGGUUUAAAUGAUUGCUAUACUAGCAUGAGGACCCAAGCUCAACCCGCCAGAGUUCGAGGGACAAACUCUGCUUAUAAUGAUGCACUCCCAUAAUCCCUCUGCCGGGGACAUGGAGGCGAGAGGAUCCUUGGGGCUUGUUGUCUAGCCAAUCUAGCUGAAUCAGGGCAUUCCGGGUUGAAAGAGAGACCCUGCCUCAAAAAUAUUAAAAAAAAAAACGUGACAGAUUGUUAACCUAUGGCCUCAAAUGUAUGCACACACAAAUGUUCUGGAACCUGAACAUGCACACAUGCGCGUGCACACACACACACACACACACACACACAUAUACACACUAGCAAAAAGAUCCAUUUCCUAUUUUUUUUUUAGCAGAAAGACUCAUUUCUUUUAUUUCAAUAAAGAUCUAUCUAUUUCUAGU
Rattus norvegicus (Norway rat) is the source of this 19963-nucleotide long non-coding RNA. RefSeq lists it as uncharacterized. Lineage: Eukaryota; Metazoa; Chordata; Mammalia; Rodentia; Muridae. The record is from RefSeq and is a predicted model, not a curated record.